Panicum virgatum (switchgrass) is the source of this 2122-nucleotide RNA transcript. RefSeq lists it as uncharacterized. NCBI's taxonomy places the organism in Eukaryota, Viridiplantae, Streptophyta, Magnoliopsida, Poales, Poaceae. The transcript is spliced from 5 exons. The record is from RefSeq and is a predicted model, not a curated record.
ACUAAGGACGCAGUGGGAAACGAAGACCACAUGCGUUGACGACGGGGACGGACGCCAGAAGCACAGUGGAGCAAAUCGCGCGCUGUAUGGACCAUUCGAUGGAGAAUCGGACCGCUGAGAAAAAAACGCCGACGUGGAUAGCCUGGCUGCGCGAGUAGCGCCAGAACUUUCAUAUAUCUAGAAAUUUGACGCCCCACAUGCUUGACCCCUGUGGCCGCUUACAAAGGGGAAAAAAAUUGGAGUGCAGGCUUGGGUUAAUCCGGCCACGAGGGAGCACGGGUGGCAGCUGCCCUACCACCCUCUCCAGUUAUAGUCCACUCCGCGUGGGUGUGGGAAUUGCUGUAUUCUCGGCACUGGGUUUCGCCUUCUAUGUCUUCUUCGUACCGUUCGUGGGGGCAAAGCAUUUUCAGAUUGUGGCCAUGGCUAUUUACGCUCCCUUGAUUACAUGUGUUGUUGUGUUACACAUAUGGUUUGCUGCAACAAAUCCUGGAGACCCUUGCAUUUUCAGUUCAGCAAAGCAUUUGAAGUUAGAUAGUCAUAGAGGAAGGCCAUUAGGUGAGGCUACUGAUGAUAGUAAUGAGAAGCUGAGAGGAAGGAUUCACCUUCUUGCCCCAGAUUUUCUGGAAUAUUUUGCUUGGUUUGUUUCCCAUUCUCUUGCCUUUGCAAGCGAUGCCUCCAUUCCAAUAAUCAACCUUCAGAACAGAACAUAUGUGAAGAAGGCAUGUUUCUCUGCAGCUUAUGCUAAGCUGAGGUAUUGUUGGCUACUCCUUUUCUACACAUCGUAUUAAGCUCAUGUACUUAUACAUAUUUCCCUUGGGGUUGUUCAAUACAGACAAGUGUUACUAACGACAUGACAUCAGACUAAAACCUAGGGUUCUGUUUAGGGCUCUUUCAGUUAACUGUCAUUGAUUAUUGAUUAUGAUGCGUUGCACUAGCACACUUCCACCAAAAUCAGCACCUCUGCUAAUACCUGAACAUGCUGUUCUGUUUCUUCAAAUUACACUGGUCUGCACAGUGCACUACUAACUUAGCAAUCAUAUUUUGGGAACAUGUAGCACAAGUACCCAUACUCCUUUCACUAACCUUGAACAUGCACGAGCUCUCAAAUUGUGGACACAGGUGUGCAUCUCUGAAGAUUUUAGUGUCAAAAUCAAAACAAAACUCAUUACUCCUUUAUUCUCGAUUCCCGCUUGAUUGGAUUAUUUCACUUAGAACAGGUAGCUCCUAAGCAAUAUUACAACUGUGAAAUGACGACCUUCAUGCCAUCUGAUAUAAUUGCAUAUUUGCUUUUUAAUUCACCUUCUGUUUCAGUUGGUUCCACCAUUUCUGCUCACAGUCGUUAACAUGCUCGAAGGUGCAUGGUGGCUCCUUGAAUACAUACAUCCUCAUCGCUGCAACCAACUAUCUGAGGAGCUUAAAGGUGCGCUAAUAGCGCGUCAAACGGGGCUAGUGGCUCGCCGGUUGCUUCGUUGAUCUCCGUGAUGGUCGUAUAUCCUACCAUCUUCCUCUUGGAGCCACGUUUCCGUUUAUGCUUCGUUGAUCCUGAUGCCUGAAAGAAUCACAAAUUUAUCAAGCGGGUUGCUAGCAACUAGUGGACGUCGCGGCAGGUCCGAAGUGUCCCUUGAGUUGACAGGGGGUUCCACGCCGACGAAUAUGUAUAGCCCGGCAAGCUCGGCUUCCAGAGUCAAAGAUGCCGCAGGGCGGUACCCAGUUAUUGUUCUUAGUGUAUCAAGCUGCUCCCUCAACUGUUAGUGUAUCAAGCUGCUCCCUCAACUGUUAGUGUAUCAAGCUUUCAUGUAAGCAAGAAAAUCCAAGGUAUCGAGAAUGAAAUCUGGCAUAUGAAAACAAAUUUGGAUGAACUGAGAGGGACUUCUCUAGGUGGAAGCUCCGGCUGGAUGUCAGCUUGGUCGCCAUCGCCUACAAUGUAAUUUAAUGAUGAUUGCUGUGCCUACUAUGGUGUUUUAGUGUCGUUUCCAAGGAUAUCUAGCAGCUCUAUUUUAAUUAAGUUGCAGUGCCGAUAGCUAAUGCAUGAGCUGCUUGAUGGUGCAUGUAUGGAUAAAUCAACGGAACAGGGUUUUCUGGUGAUCAUAAAUCGUGGAAAGAUAGUAAUUCUUUUAUUUCU